CAAAGGGUAGUUUAAUAAAAAUUUUAAUUUUGGAGAUUAAAGAUAAAGUUUCUUUUCCUUUGA
RNAcentral lists this transfer RNA (63 nucleotides) under Cryptolaemus montrouzieri. RNAcentral's name for it is "tRNA-Pro". The record is from RNAcentral. Lineage: Eukaryota; Metazoa; Arthropoda; Insecta; Coleoptera; Coccinellidae.